GGCAGGAGGCUGGAGGCCUCUACUUCCUCCAGCCCCAACAGCAUGGCCAAUGCAAACUUCUCACUGGAAAACACCGAGCCCUCUGGACAAAGGCUCUGUGUGAUGUUCUAGUGCCUGCCCAACGGGUCUUCUGUGAAAAGGCCCAGCUGUGGUAGCUGGGCUGCCAGGCCUGGGACAGGCAGAGUUCAUCAACAGCUUCUCGGGCCACAGAGCUCAAACGGGACUGGAGCCAGGAUGGCGUGACCAUGUCCUUCCUGUUGUGGACAGCGGGGAAUUGGAUGUGUUGAUGUCUCUGUCAAGGCAUCUCCCUGCAUGAAAGACAUGAGAAUGAGGCAUAUGGGGCAGGAGGCAGGUAUCCAGCUCAAGGAAACGGUCCUGGCUCCACAGAGUGCCCUGAGACCUUCGCUGACCUGCCAUCUUGGCUCAGUUCUCAGCCUUCUGGGAAGGAGUUGGCCUAUUGAGGAAAGGACGGUGCCAGCUCUCUGGCCUCUUGCCUGAGCCAAUAUGACAGAAAACCUAGAUAGGUUGAUUUUCCUGGACUUGGCUUCUCCGCUGCCGGUCUCAUGGUGCUCACCUGAUCCUCCUUCCUGAUCCGCCCUCCCGGAACUUCUCAGAGCUCUGAGCAGCUGCGUCCUGGCCGAGGUGACCCACUGACAAGCUGACACAUUUAAACUCCAAAGUUGUCAGGUGUCCCUUUGACUCCUCACCCCAUAGACAAGUGCACGGAGGCUGGUGAAUUUCCAAUGUCCUGACUCAGGAUUGUAAACUCCUUGCCAGCAGGGACCCUGGCAAGUUCAACCACCGAUUGUACACUCAGAGCCUAGUACAUAGGAGGCUCCCAUAAAAAGUUGUUGAUUAAAUGAAUACUAGAUGAAUCACUUCAACGCCCAUCUCCCCUGCCACAUAUGACAGCUUAAGGCAUUCUAACUUAGCAGGUAAUCCACUUGCGCAGGGGUCUGCAAACCUUUUCUGUAAAUAGGUUAGGCUUUACAGGCAAGAGGCAAAAUAAAGGCUAUUGCAUAGGCACUUCAAAAGCAAAAGAGCCUGGCCAGGUAGCUCAGUUGGUUAGGAUAUCAUCCCGAUACACCAAGGUUGUGGGUUUGCUCCUGGGUCAGGGCACAUACAAGAAUCAACCAAUGACAAAGAAUGCAUAACUAAAUGGAACAACUAACCAAUGUUUCUCUCUCUCUCUCUCUUCCUCUCUCUCUC
Long non-coding RNA from Myotis daubentonii (Daubenton's bat), 1209 nucleotides. RefSeq lists it as uncharacterized. Lineage: Eukaryota; Metazoa; Chordata; Mammalia; Chiroptera; Vespertilionidae. The record is from RefSeq and is a predicted model, not a curated record.